AUCACUUUUGAGCCUUUUGGCUAAGAUGAGGUAACUUUUCUCAACAAUUUAAUACCUGGUACGUUCUCCUAUCCAAGGACGAUAUGGUAAAUGGGUUUUUGGAGCCAGGAGAUAGAGUAGGAGCUCACUCCACCUCCUCCAUGCAUAGGCUGGUAUUGUAGUACCUCCAGGAACUGUGGACCCUGU
Small nuclear RNA from Peromyscus maniculatus bairdii (prairie deer mouse), 186 nucleotides. Its record names the gene U2. It matches the Rfam family "U2 spliceosomal RNA". From Rfam's summary of the family: U2 is a small nuclear RNA (snRNA) component of the spliceosome (involved in pre-mRNA splicing). The record is from Ensembl. Lineage: Eukaryota; Metazoa; Chordata; Mammalia; Rodentia; Cricetidae.